AACGGUCUAUACCUGCGGUACCUGCGGAGGGAUCAUUAAUGAGAAGCUGCCCCUCGUGGGUAGACCUCCCACCCUCUGUGAACUUACCUUUGUUGCUUUGGCAGGCCCGUCCUCUGGACCGCCGGCUUCGGCUGGCCCGUGCCUGCCAGAGGAUUCCAAACCCUGUCUGUCAGUGUUGUCUGAGUCUAUAUGAAAUCGUUAAAACUUUUAACAACGGAUCUCUAGAUCGGAAGAGCACAC
Molecule: unclassified non-coding RNA, 240 nt
Filed under: soil metagenome
Description: partial contains 5.8S ribosomal RNA, internal transcribed spacer 2, and large subunit ribosomal RNA
Source: RNAcentral